GACGAACCGUGCGAACGUUGUUCGGAAUCACUGGGCGUAAAGCGCGCGUAGGCGGAACGUUAAGUCCGGUCUGAAAGCCCCCGGCUCAACCGGGGAGGGUGGCUGGAAACUGGCGUUCUUGAGGGCGAGAGAGGAGGGUGGAAUUCCUGGUGUAGCGGUGAAAUGCGUAGAGAUCAGGAGGAACACCCGGGGCGAAGGCGGCCCUCUGGCUCGACCCUGACGCUGAGGCGCGAAAGCGUGGGGAGCGAACGGG
This 253-nucleotide ribosomal RNA is filed under the name uncultured bacterium. RNAcentral describes it as "partial 16S ribosomal RNA". It matches the Rfam family "Bacterial small subunit ribosomal RNA", at positions 524 to 776 of the family's 1533-position model. The record is from RNAcentral.